GCCAGUGUGGCAUAAUGCUUUGAGCAUUGGACUAUGACUCUUGGAGUCCAGGGUUUGAAUCCCUGCACAACCA
Molecule: non-coding RNA, 73 nt
Organism: Phrynosoma platyrhinos (Desert horned lizard)
Lineage: Eukaryota; Metazoa; Chordata; Lepidosauria; Squamata; Phrynosomatidae
Source: the annotation of a GenBank genome assembly